UUGAACGCUGGCGGCAUGCCUUACACAUGCAAGUCGAACGGUAACAGGUCUUCGGAUGCUGACGAGUGGCGAACGGGUGAGUAAUACAUCGGAACGUGCCCGAGAGUGGGGGAUAACGGAGCGAAAGCUUUGCUAAUACCGCAUACGAUCUACGGAUGAAAGCAGGGGACCGCAAGGCCUUGCGCUCAUGGAGCGGCCGAUGGCAGAUUAGCUAGUUGGUGGGGUAAAGGCCCACCAAGGCGACGAUCUGUAGCGGGUCUGAGAGGAUGAUCCGCCACACUGGGACUGAGACACGGCCCAGACUCCUACGGGAGGCAGCAGUGGGGAAUUUUGGACAAUGGGCGCAAGCCUGAUCCAGCCAUGCCGCGUGCGGGACGAAGGCCUUCGGGUUGUAAACCGCUUUCAGCCGGAAAGAAAUCGUCAAGGCUAAUAUCCUUGAUGGAUGACGGUACCGGAAGAAGAAGCACCGGCUAACUACGU
RNAcentral lists this ribosomal RNA (480 nucleotides) under uncultured bacterium. RNAcentral's name for it is "bacterial SSU rRNA". It matches the Rfam family "Bacterial small subunit ribosomal RNA", at positions 30 to 506 of the family's 1533-position model. The record is from RNAcentral.